GAAAUGCGAUAAGUAAUGUGAAUUGCAGAACUCAGUGAAUCAUCGAAUCUUUGAACGCACCUUGCGCUCCUUGGUAUUCCUUGGAGCAUGCCUGUUUGAGUAUCAUGAAAUCUUCAAAGUAAAUCUUUUGUUAACUCAAUUAGUUUCUACUUUGGUAUUGGAGGUCUUUGCAGCUUCACACCUGCUCCUCUUUGUUCAUUAGCUGGAUCUCAGUGUUAUGCUUGGUUCCACUCGGCGUGAUAAGUUAUCUAUCGCUGAGGACACUGUAAAAGGUGGCCAAGGUAAAUGCAGAUGAACCGCUUCUAAUAGUCCAUUGACUUGGACAAUACUUUUAUGAUCUGAUCUCAAAUCAGGUAGGACUACCCGCUGAACUUAAGC
RNAcentral lists this unclassified non-coding RNA (378 nucleotides) under plant metagenome. Its description in RNAcentral is "partial contains 5.8S ribosomal RNA, internal transcribed spacer 2, and large subunit ribosomal RNA". The stretch from base 1 to 105 matches the Rfam family "5.8S ribosomal RNA", at positions 50 to 154 of the family's 154-position model. The record is from RNAcentral.